Long non-coding RNA from Gadus morhua (Atlantic cod), 4401 nucleotides. The record is from Ensembl. NCBI's taxonomy places the organism in Eukaryota, Metazoa, Chordata, Actinopteri, Gadiformes, Gadidae.
AUGAGAAAGCCGUCGUCACAAGCUGUGUCUUCUGUGAGAAGGCAGGACACAGUCUACAAAGGUGUUACAAGUUUAUGCAAGGGACAAUCUUGGAGCGAAUCAAGUUUGUUCAAGAAAAUAAAUUGUGUUUUGGCUGUCUCAAAUUUGGCCACCGAUCUAGAGAUUGUAGAGAAAGAGACAGCUGCGACACCUGUGAGAGAAGACACCCAACUUGUCUUCAUGACGAUCGCACCAAGGAAGAAAGGAUGUCUACAAGAUCUGAGAGCAAGGUACAGUGACAAAGACAAAGAAGAGUACAAAGAAAGGAAGAAUGAACAGUCACAAGACCAGUCAGAGAGACCAUCACGUGAGGCGACGGCACUUAGAGUCAUCCAGAAUGUUGGAGACACGCAUACCUCCACAAUAAUUCCAGUGUGGGUGUCAUCCACAAGUGUACCAAGUCGUGAAGUUCUGGUGUACGCACUCCUUGAUACACAAAGUGACACAACCUUUAUCCUCGACGAGACAGCGAAGGCUCUCAAUGCUAGGAGUGAACCAGUUCAGCUAAACCUCUCCACGUUGGCUUCAAGAAACACAAUCGUGUCCUGUCGGAAGCUAGCUGGUCUACAAGUUAGAGGUUUUUAUUCAGACAAGAUAAUCACUCUUCCAGUGACUUACUCAAGAGAGUUUAUCCCUGCAAACAGAGACCAUAUUCCCACACCAGAUACGGCGAAAGCAUGGCCUCAUCUUGAACACAUUGCAGAUGAGAUCGCUCCUCAGCAAAGCUGUGAUGUCGGCCUGUUAAUUGGCUACAACUGUGCCCAAGCCCUCGUUCCAAGACAAGUGGUGCCUGGUGAGGAACACCAGCCGUUUGCACAAAAGACAGACUUGGGCUGGAGUGUAGUGGGAUAUGGCAACCCGUGUCUCAACUAUGGAGAUGCAAUUGGAAUAAGUCACCAAGUCAUGGUGAAGCAAGUGAUGCCAGGUCUACCGUCCUCUUCAGACCUCACAAAGGAAGUGCACUAUGUCUGUAGGACACAGAUCAAAGAAGUUCUCUUACCUGCAGAUGUCAUCAAGAUGCUGGAGUCUGACUUCGUUGAAAGAGAGUCGGAAACCAGCCCCAUCUCUCAAGAAGAUCUAAGGUUCCUGUCAAAAAUGGAAAAGAGCAUCAAGUUAAAGAGCGACGGUCAUUACGAAAUGCCGCUGCCAUUCAAGAAAGAAAGACCUAACUUACCUGAUAAUAAGAUCUGUGCUAUCCAUCGUCUCAGGUGCCUAGAAAGAAGGCUGAGAAGAAACGACCAGUACUACAAAGACUACAAGACCUUCAUGGAUGAGACCAUAAGACGCGGAGAUGCAGAAAGGGUCCCGGAGGAAGACAUCCACAAAGCUCCAGCUUGGUACAUUCCGCAUCAUGGGGUGUAUCAUCCACAAAAGCCUGGGAAGAUACGCGUUGUCUUCGAUUGCUCCGCCAAGUACCAAGGAACGUCCUUGAACGACCACCUCCUGACGGGUCCUGAGUUGACAAACACCUUGGUGGGAGUUCUGUAUCGCUUCCGAAGAGGUCCUGUGGCAAUCAUGUGUGACAUCGAACGCAUGUUUCACCAGUUCCAUGUUAAGGCAGAAGACCAAGAUUACCUGCGGUUCCUUUGGUGGGACAAUGGAGAUCUCGAAAGCCAACCUUCCAUCUAUCGGAUGAAAGUCCACUUGUUUGGUGCAGCAUCGUCACCUGGCUGUGCCAACUAUGGGCUGAAGCAUGUCGCUGCUGAAGGACAAGGAAACUUUAGUGACGACACCAUAAAGUUCAUUCAACGGAACUUCUACGUGGAUGAUGGAUUGUCAAGUGUAGCAUCCGAAGACCAAGCGAUCCAACUGGUGAAAGAAGCAAGAGAACUUUGCAGCACAGGCAAACUCCGGCUGCAUACGUUUAUCUCUAACAGCAAGAAGGUCCUAGACGCAAUCCCAAAAGAAGAAUGUGCUGCAGCUGCCAAAGACAAGGACAUGGCACUGGGUGAACUGCACAUGGAAAGAGCACUCGGUGUGCAGUGGUGCGUGGCUUCUGAUGAGUUCCAGUUCAGAGUAAUCGUCAAGGAGAAUCCACUUACUCGAAGAGGAGUCCUGUCCACAGUCGCUUCAGUCUACGACCCUCUUGGAUUUGUGGCACCGUUCAUCUUGUUGGGAAAGCAGAUCCUGCAGCAGAUGUGUUGUGACAAGCUCAGUUGGGAUGACACCUUACCUGAUGACCUACGACCUCUGUGGGAAAGCUGGCUUCAAGACCUGCGAAAUCUAGCCGAGGUGAAGAUUCCAAGAUGCUACGUUCCAUCAAGCUUCAAGGUCCAACACUACGAACUCCACCAUUUCGCCGAUGCCAGUGAGUCAGGCUAUGGAGAGUGCUCGUACCUCAGAGCAGUGAGUACGUCAAGUGAAGUCCACUGUUCCUUUGUAAUGGGAAAGUCGAGAGUCGCUCCUACUAAGGUCACAACCAUACCAAGACUCGAGCUGUCAGCAGCAGUGGUAGCUGUCCGCACCAGUGACAUGCUCAAGAAAGAACUGGAAAUAGAAUGCCUACAAGAAGUCUUCUGGACUGAUUCAAGAGUGGUCCUUGGUUACAUCAAUAAUGAAGCCAGAAGAUUUCACGUGUUUGUGGCAAAUCGUGUGGAACGCAUCAAGCAAAGCACAGAGUCUACACAAUGGAAGUAUGUGGCUUCAGAAGAUAAUCCAGCAGACUACGCCUCAAGAGGUCUCACAGCAGAGCAACUGGUAUCCUCUAACUGGUUCACAGGCCCAGACUUUCUUUGGCAGAAGGAGUUACCAAGUGGAGAUGUCAAGGUGGGAGAGAUCACAUAUGACGAUCCUGAGCUUAAGAAGGUCCAGGUUCUCGACACCCAGGCGAAAGAAGUCAAGUCGCUGCUAGAUCGCCUACACAAGUUUUCAGACUGGUCCAAAAUGGUGAAAGCUAUCGCCAGACUCCAGCGCCAUGUGAAAGAAAUUAAAGGGCUUCAGCCAAAGUCCUGUGAAGCCUGCAGUUUGGAGGAAAGGAGAGAAGCGGAGUUGACAAUAAUCAAGAUGGUUCAAGAAGCAACCUUCUCACAAGAUAUACAGUUACUCCAAAGUGACAAGGAGACGCCAGUCAAGGGCAAAGCCAAUAAGUUGCACCGGUUAAGUCCAUUCCUGGAUGACCAAGGUGUCCUCAGAGUUGGAGGCCGCUUAACUCAUGCUGCCCUACAUCCACAGGUGAAGCAUCCAGCGGUCCUUCCAAAGGACAGUCAUGUGUCAAAUUUACUUGUCAAGCACUAUCAUGAAAGAGUGUACCAUCAAGGACGAGGAAUGACCAUGAAUGCGCUCCGAUCUAAUGGCAUAUGGAUACUGGGCUGCAGCACGGCUGUAUCAUCCCAUAUCUACAAGUGCACUAAGUGCAGGAAGUUCAGAAGAUGCACUGAACAGCAGAAAAUGUCAGACCUUCCAGAGGACAGAAUGGAAACAGCUCCUCCAUUCACCUACUGCGGUAUGGACUGUUUUGGACCAUUCUACGUAAAGGAAGGAAGGAAAGAGCUAAAGCGUUAUGGAUUGUUACUUACCUGCAUGUGUUCCAGAGCGGUUCACGUUGAGAUGCUUGACGAUAUGACCACGGAUGCCUUCAUUAACGCAUUGCGUUCAUUCAUCGCCAUUCGUGGAAAGGUACGUCAGAUAAGAAGUGAUCAAGGAACAAACUUCGUCGGAGCAAGACGAGAGUUUGCUGAAGCAUUGAAAGAAAUGGAUCAGGAAGAGCUCAAGCAGCUUGGAUGUGAGUUCAUCAUGAACACCCCAGCUUCAAGUCAUAUGGGUGGCGUCUGGGAAAGACAAAUUCGCACCAUAAGAAGUGUCUUGACGUCCAUUCUAGAACAGUCAGCUACGCAGCUUGACUGCUCCUCUCUAAGAACGUUCCUGUAUGAAGUCAUGGCAAUAGUGAACAGUAGACCUCUGAGCACUGAUUGUCUAAAUGAUUCAUCCAGUCCAGAGCCCCUGACACCAAACCACAUUUUGACCAUGAAGUCCACGAUACUCGCUCCACCUCCUGGGAAGUUCGUCAAGGAAGAUCUAUACCUACGCAAGAGAUGGCGUCGAGUUCAAUUCUUAUCCAACCACUUUUGGACAAGAUGGAAGAAGGAGUACCUCCUGAGCCUCCAACAGAGACAGAAGUGGACCAAAGAUCGCAGGAAUGCAAAGGUCGGCGAUGUUGUACUCCUGCAAGAUGAUACUACACCACGUAACCAGUGGAGGAUGGCAAAGGUUAUCGAAGUGUACCCAGGAAAGGAUGGGAAGGUGCGAAGACUCAAGUUGCUCAUCAGCGACUCAACCCUUGAUGAGAAGGGAAAGCGUAUCUCCAAACCUGUCCACCUGGAAAGGCCCAUCCAUAAGACGGUGACGCUGAUGGAAGCAGACUGA